Vicia faba (fava bean) is the source of this 309-nucleotide non-coding RNA. Lineage: Eukaryota; Viridiplantae; Streptophyta; Magnoliopsida; Fabales; Fabaceae. The record is from the annotation of a GenBank genome assembly.
AUGUGCACUCCUCUUUUCUUCAUUGGCUCUCUUUUUCUUUCUAGCUACUUUCUCCCAUGCUAUCGCCACGUUUACUUCAUCAACCAAUCCCAUUCUUCCCACUCUUCCCUAUCUUCACUGUUCAAACACGUGUUUUUUCUUACACGUGUCCCUUUCCCACCUUUCUAUAAAACCAACCCUCGUUUCCAUCACUUCAUCGUCUGCAUUACUAUUAGACGUUUUGAUUCCUUCUUUUAUUUUACAUCACUUGCUCUUACCAUACCAAAAAUGAUACAAACAAAAACAAAAACACUGAGUUCCUUGAGUUGA